This is a non-coding RNA of Lactuca sativa (garden lettuce), 769 nucleotides long. The record is from RefSeq and is a predicted model, not a curated record. Lineage: Eukaryota; Viridiplantae; Streptophyta; Magnoliopsida; Asterales; Asteraceae.
AUUGUUUAAAAUAUUUAUGUUUAAAGAAAUUGUAUUUUUAAUUUCCGUUGGAGAUUUGUAGGUAAUAAAUCAUAUUUUAAUUUUCGUAGUAGAUCUGUAGGUAAUUACCUACGGAUUACCUACUACUAACAAAAAAAACCCGGUACUCAAACACAUUCCUCCUUACCGUUUCCUUUUUUCUCUAACUUGAAGACGAAGAACCCUACAUCGGUUUGGAGUGCCGCUGCCGGAAUUUCAUUUACUAAACACUACAGUGCCCGUCGGAAUCGUAUGUAUUAUUCUCUCUCCCCCUCAAUUUUGUUUUUCGACACUUGUAAUCACCAUUUGACGAACCCUAGAUAAAUUUUAGUUUCCGGUGGUUUCUCCACUUCACCGCCACUGUCGUCGGUAUCUUCCACAUUCCUACUACCGCAGCUGUUGCCGGUUCCUCCCACUCCCCCGCCACUGUCGCCAGUUACUCCCAAUCUACCCCACCGAUACUUGUAAUCAGGGUUGGUGAAUAGAAGUUGAUGGCGUCAUGAAGGCUGCGAUGAUGAUGAUAAAGUUCGAUGACAGGUUUGUGCCCGGUGAUGGUGUAUGGUGGUAGCGUACGAUGAAGAGGGUGACGGGUUGUUGCAUGUUAAUGGUGAAAAUGUCCUCUGUGUGUUUCUGUAGAUUAGCAACAUUUUUCAUUCAUAUGCAGUAUUUCAUGUAAACCUUGUAUGGGGUGUGAUGCUGACCAAAUUAUUGUCCGAUAAUUGUAAUAAAAUAUUGUGUUGUUUAGUUUACA